CGAUAACGAACGAGACCUUAACCUGCUAAAUAGAUGCGUGAACGCGAGUUCAUGGUGUCUUCUUAGAGGGACAAACCACGUUUAGUGGUUGGAAGUUUGAGGCAAUAACAGGUCUGUGAUGCCCUUAGAUGUUCUGGGCCGCACGCGCGCUACACUGACAAAGUCAGCGAGUGUUCACCUUGACCGAGAGGUCUGGGUAAUCUUGUGAAACUUUGUCGUGCUGGGGAUAGACCAUUGCAAUUAUUGGUCUUCAACGAGGAAUUCCUAGUAAGCGCAAGUCAUCAGCUUGCGUUGAUUACGUCCCUGCCCUUUGUACACACCGCCCGUCGUUACUACCGGAUUGAAUGGCU
This 350-nucleotide ribosomal RNA is filed under the name uncultured fungus. RNAcentral's name for it is "SSU rRNA". It matches the Rfam family "Eukaryotic small subunit ribosomal RNA", at positions 1326 to 1698 of the family's 1831-position model. Lineage: Eukaryota; Fungi. The record is from RNAcentral.